UAAAAUAAAGCUGAGUGAUCAGAUUCAUUCUGUCCCUAUGUACUAUCUAGCGAAACCGCAGCCAAGCGAACGGGCUGGGAAUAAUUAGCGGGGAAAGAAGACCCUUUUGAGCUUGACUCUAAUCUGGCAGUGUAAGGAGACAUUAGAGGUGUAGCAUAAGUGGGAGAUAUAAGAAUUAGGUUAGGUAUCGACAAUGAAAUACCACUACUUACACAGUUUCCUUUAAUACUUUAUUAAAUGGAACUCGUAUCAUCUGCUCACCCAGAUCAUAAGCUCUCUCUCUCUUUUGUAGGUCAAAGUUUUCGUUUCAGAUUUCUUGAUCAAAGUUUCUAUUCGAUUAUUUCCUCUCGCAAACAAAUUAUACUCCGAUUAAAGCCAUUCAUACAUUCGCCCAUCCGACAUCCUCAUAAGUCCAGAUAGUCGGAUACCAUCC
Molecule: non-coding RNA, 433 nt
Filed under: Drosophila persimilis
Lineage: Eukaryota; Metazoa; Arthropoda; Insecta; Diptera; Drosophilidae
Description: Eukaryotic large subunit ribosomal RNA
Rfam family: Eukaryotic large subunit ribosomal RNA
Source: Rfam by way of RNAcentral